GAUGAACGCUGGCGGCGUGCUUAACACAUGCAAGUCGAACGAAGCAUUUCUUUUGAAAGUCACCAGCUUGCUGGAGAUGGACAUGCGAAAUGACUGAGUGGCGGACGGGUGAGUAACGCGUGAGUAACCUGCCUUAUACAGGGGGAUAACAGUUGGAAACGACUGCUAAUACCGCAUAAGCUCACAGUACCGCAUGGUACAGUGUGAAAAACUCCGGUGGUGUAGGAUGGACCCGCGUCCGAUUAGCUAGUUGGUGAGGUAAGAGCUCACCAAGGCGACGAUCGGUAGCCGGCCUGAGAGGGCGGACGGCCACAUUGGGACUGAGACACGGCCCAGACUCCUGCGGGAGGCAGCAGUGGGGGAUAUUGCACAAUGGGGGAAACCCUGAUGCAGCGACGCCGCGUGAGUGAAGAAGUAUUUCGGUAUGUAAAGCUCUAUCAGCAGGGAAGAAAAUGACGGUACCUGACUAAGAAGCCCCGGCUAACUACGUGCCAGCAGCCGCAGUAACAC
This 510-nucleotide ribosomal RNA is filed under the name uncultured bacterium. RNAcentral describes it as "bacterial SSU rRNA". It matches the Rfam family "Bacterial small subunit ribosomal RNA", at positions 28 to 526 of the family's 1533-position model. The record is from RNAcentral.